RNAcentral lists this ribosomal RNA (190 nucleotides) under uncultured bacterium. Its description in RNAcentral is "partial 16S ribosomal RNA". It matches the Rfam family "Bacterial small subunit ribosomal RNA", at positions 337 to 525 of the family's 1533-position model. The record is from RNAcentral.
UCCUACGGGAGGCAGCAGUGAGGAAUAUUGGUCAAUGGGCGGAAGCCUGAACCAGCCAAGUCGCGUGAGGGAAGACGGUCCUACGGAUUGUAAACCUCUUUUGUCGGGGAGCAAAGGGGCCACGCGUGGCAGGAUGAGCGUACCCGAAGAAAAAGCAUCGGCUAACUCCGUGCCAGCAGCCGCGGUAAUA